This 513-nucleotide ribosomal RNA is filed under the name Geophilus electricus. Its description in RNAcentral is "eukaryotic LSU rRNA". It matches the Rfam family "Eukaryotic large subunit ribosomal RNA", at positions 666 to 946 of the family's 3401-position model. The record is from RNAcentral. Lineage: Eukaryota; Metazoa; Arthropoda; Chilopoda; Geophilomorpha; Geophilidae.
CCAAGGAGUCUAACAUGUGUGCAAGUCGUAGGGUCUGUUUCUUAACCGAAGCUAAACCCGAUGGCGAAAUGAAAGUAAAGGCCGCCGGAUUCGUCUUCUCUCCUUCGGGGGAGUUGACGCAUGAAGGGAUAAUAAACGGCCGAGGCGAGAUCCAUUAAACAAAAAACCGGGCUGAUGUUUUCUUUUAGGCCAUCGUUCCGAGAUCUUCGGGUCUCGGAACGGCCCGGUGGCGCAUCGCCGGCCCGUCUCUGUCGCUGCUCCCGGCUUGCAGCCGUGUUUGUGCGUGACUUUUUUAACCUCUCGGGGUUUUCCAAGUUCGCCUGCGCGGAGGCACGGGAGAAACCAGUUCGACGAGGCGGAGCAAGAGCACACACGUUGGGACCCGAAAGAUGGUGAACUAUGCCCGGGCAGGACGAAGCCAGAGGAAACUCUGGUGGAGGUCCGCAGCGAUUCUGACGUGCAAAUCGAUCGUCGGACCUGGGUAUAGGGGCGAAAGACUAAUCGAACCGUCUA